NCCUGCCCACUGAUUAAUUUAAUGWCCGCAGUAAUUUGACUGUGCAAAGGUAGCAUAAUCAUUAGUUUUUUAAUUGAAAGCUUGUAUGAAUGGUUGGACGAGAUAAAAUCUGUCUCUAUUUAAAUUAUUUUAGAAUUUUAUUUUUAAGUUAAAAAGCUUAAAURUAUAUAAAAGACGRGAAGACCCUAUAGAUCUUUAUAUUUUUUUAUAUAAUUUUAUUAAAGAAUUUUUUAAUUUUUAUAUAUAUAAAUAUUUUAUUGGGGUAAUAAAAAGAUUUAUUAAAUUCUUUUUUUUAUUUGAYAUAGAUUAAUAGAUAUUUGAUCCAAUAUAUUUUGAUUAUAAGAUUAAGUUACCUUAGGGAUAACAGCGUAAUUUUUUUUGAGAGUUCAUAUCGAUAAAAAAGUUUGCGACCUCGAUGGUGGAUUAAAAAUUAUUUUAGGUGUAGAAGUCUAAAAAUUUGGUCUGUUCGACCAUUAAAUUUU
This 482-nucleotide ribosomal RNA is filed under the name Copelatus sp. 001VI496. RNAcentral describes it as "partial 16S ribosomal RNA". The stretch from base 360 to 482 matches the Rfam family "Bacterial large subunit ribosomal RNA", at positions 2473 to 2596 of the family's 2925-position model. The record is from RNAcentral. Lineage: Eukaryota; Metazoa; Arthropoda; Insecta; Coleoptera; Dytiscidae.